Molecule: ribosomal RNA, 253 nt
Filed under: uncultured archaeon
Lineage: Archaea
Description: partial 16S ribosomal RNA
Rfam family: Archaeal small subunit ribosomal RNA
Source: RNAcentral
UCCCGGCGCCACGAGUGGAAGUCACUUCUAUUGGGUCUAAAGUAUUCGUAGCUGUUUUGUUAAGUUUCUUGUGAAAGCCCUGUGGCUUAACCCAGGAAUUGCAAGAAAUACUGACAAAAUUGGGACUGGGAGAGGUAUGAGGUAUUGUUUGGGUAGCGGUAAAAUGUUAUAAUCCUUACAAGACCAACUAAUGCGAAGGCAUCAUACUUGAACAGAUCCGACGGUGAGGAAUGAGAGCUGGGGGAGCAAACCG